RNAcentral lists this ribosomal RNA (254 nucleotides) under uncultured bacterium. RNAcentral describes it as "partial 16S ribosomal RNA". It matches the Rfam family "Bacterial small subunit ribosomal RNA", at positions 524 to 776 of the family's 1533-position model. The record is from RNAcentral.
UACGUAGGGUGCGAGCGUUGUCCGGAAUUAUUGGGCGUAAAGGGCUCGUAGGCGGUCUGUCGCGUCGGGAGUGAAAACUCAGGGCUUAACCCUGAGCCUGCUUCCGAUACGGGCAGACUAGAGGUAUGCAGGGGAGAACGGAAUUCCUGGUGUAGCGGUGGAAUGCGCAGAUAUCAGGAGGAACACCGGUGGCGAAGGCGGUUCUCUGGGCAUUACCUGACGCUGAGGAGCGAAAGUGUGGGGGAGCGAACAGG